This 253-nucleotide ribosomal RNA is filed under the name uncultured bacterium. Its description in RNAcentral is "partial 16S ribosomal RNA". It matches the Rfam family "Bacterial small subunit ribosomal RNA", at positions 524 to 776 of the family's 1533-position model. The record is from RNAcentral.
UACGAAGGGGGCUAGCGUUGCUCGGAAUUACUGGGCGUAAAGCGCACGUAGGCGGCUUUCUAAGUCGGGGGUGAAAUCCUGGAGCUCAACUCCAGAACUGCCUUCGAUACUGGAAAGCUCGAGUCCGGGAGAGGUGAGUGGAACUGCGAGUGUAGAGGUGAAAUUCGUAGAUAUUCGCAAGAACACCAGUGGCGAAGGCGGCUCACUGGCCCGGAACUGACGCUGAGACGCGAAAGCGUGGGGAGCAAACAGG